RNAcentral lists this ribosomal RNA (405 nucleotides) under Papiliotrema aurea. RNAcentral describes it as "partial small subunit ribosomal RNA". It matches the Rfam family "Eukaryotic small subunit ribosomal RNA", at positions 30 to 432 of the family's 1831-position model. Lineage: Eukaryota; Fungi; Basidiomycota; Tremellomycetes; Tremellales; Rhynchogastremaceae. The record is from RNAcentral.
GCUUGUCUCAAAGAUUAAGCCAUGCAUGUCUAAGUAUAAACAACUUUAUACUGUAAAACUGCGAACGGCUCAUUAUAUCAGCAAUAAUUUAUUUGAUGGUUUCUUACCCCAUGGAUAACUGUGGUAAUUCUAGAGCUAAUACAUGCGUAAAGUCCCGACUCUUUCUGGGGAGGGAUGUAUUUAUUAGAUAAAAAACCAAUGGGUGCAAGCCCUCUAUGGUGAUUCAUAAUAACUUCUCGAAUCGCAUGGCCUUGCGCCGGCGAUGCUUCAUUCAAAUAUCUGCCCUAUCAACUUUCGAUGGUAGGAUAGGGGCCUACCAUGGUAUCAACGGGUAACGGGGAAUUAGGGUUCGAUUCCGGAGAGGGAGCCUGAGAAACGGCUACCACAUCCAAGGAAGGCAGCAGG